AUACGGAGGAUGCAAGCGUUAUCCGGAUUCAUUGGGUUUAAAGGGUCCGCAGGCGGGACAAUAAGUCAGAGGUGAAAUCCUACGGCUCAACUGUAGAACUGCCUUUGAUACUGUUGUCCUAGAGUGUAGUUGAGGUAGGCGGAAUAUGUCAUGUAGCGGUGAAAUGCUUAGAUAUGACAUAGAACACCAAUCGCGAAGGCAGCUUACCAAGCUACUACUGACGCUCAGGGACGAAAGCGUGGGGAUCAAACAGGAUUAGAUACCCUGGUAGUCCACGCUGUAAACGAUGGUCACUCGAUGUUGGCGAUACACAGUCAGCGUCUGAGCGAAAGCAUUAAGUGACCCACCUGGGGAGUACGACCGCAAGGCUGAA
Molecule: ribosomal RNA, 373 nt
Filed under: uncultured bacterium
Lineage: Bacteria
Description: bacterial SSU rRNA
Rfam family: Bacterial small subunit ribosomal RNA
Source: RNAcentral